RNAcentral lists this ribosomal RNA (449 nucleotides) under uncultured bacterium. RNAcentral describes it as "partial 16S ribosomal RNA". It matches the Rfam family "Bacterial small subunit ribosomal RNA", at positions 29 to 523 of the family's 1533-position model. The record is from RNAcentral.
AGCGAACGCUGGCGGCAGGCCUAACACAUGCAAGUCGAACGGAUCCUUCGGGAUUAGUGGCGGACGGGUGAGUAACACGUGGGAACGUGCCCUUUGGUUCGGAACAACACAGGGAAACUUGAGCUAAUACCGGCUGUGCCCUUCGGGGGAAAGAUUUAUCGCCAUUGGCGCGGCCCGCGUCUGAUUAGCUAGUUGGUGAGGUAAAGGCUCACCAAGGCGACGAUCAGUAGCUGGUCUGAGAGGAUGAUCAGCCACAUUGGGACUGAGACACGGCCCAAACUCCUACGGGAGGCAGCAGCGGGGAAUCUUGCGCAAUGGGCGAAAGCCUGACGCAGCCAUGCCGCGUGAAUGAUGAAGGUCUUAGGAUUGUAAAAUUCUUUCACCGGGGACGAUAAUUACGGUACCCGGAGAAGAAGCCCCGGCUAACUUCGUGCCAGCCGCCGCUGUAA